GAACGCUGGCGGCAGGCUUACACAUGCAAGUCGAGCGGAUGUAGCAAUACAUCAGCGGCAGACGGGUGAGUAACACGUGGGAACGUACCUUUUGGUUCGGAACAACACAGGGAAACUUGUGCUAAUACCGGAUAAGCCCUUACGGGGAAAGAUUUAUCGCCGAAAGAUCGGCCCGCGUCUGAUUAGCUAGUUGGUGAGGUAAUGGCUCACCAAGGCGACGAUCAGUAGCUGGUCUGAGAGGAUGAUCAGCCACAUUGGGACUGAGACACGGCCCAAACUCCUACGGGAGGCAGCAGUGGGGAAUAUUGGACAAUGGGCGCAAGCCUGAUCCAGCCAUGCCGCGUGAGUGAUGAAGGCCCUAGGGUUGUAAAGCUCUUUUGUGCGGGAAGAUAAUGACGGUACCGCAAGAAUAAGCCCCGGCUAACUUCGUGCCAGCAGCCGCGGUAAUACGAAGGGGGCUAGCGUUGCUCGGAAUCACUGGGCGUAAAGGGUGCGUANGCGGGUCUUUAAGUCAGGGGUGAAAUCCUGGAGCUCAACUCCAGAACUGCCUUUGAUACUGAAGA
This 563-nucleotide ribosomal RNA is filed under the name uncultured bacterium. RNAcentral describes it as "bacterial SSU rRNA". It matches the Rfam family "Bacterial small subunit ribosomal RNA", at positions 31 to 639 of the family's 1533-position model. The record is from RNAcentral.